AGAGAGAGGGGGGGAAGGCUGCAUAACCAGACAGAGAGAGAGCGAGAGUGGGGAGGGUGCAUAACCAGACAGAGAGAGAGAGAGAGAGAGAGAGAGGAGUGUGGAUAACAAGACAGCGAGAGAGAGAGGGGGGAGGGUGGAUAACCAGAGAGAGAGAGGGAGAGGUGCAUAACCAGAGAGAGAGAGAGCGAGAGAGAGGGUGCAUAACCAGACAGAGAGAGAGGGGGGAGGAGAGAGAGGAAGAGAGAGAGAGAGGGAAGGGUGGAUAAUGAGACAGAGAGAGAGAGAGGAGAGGGUGGAUAACCAGACGUAGAGAGGAGGGUGGAUAACCAGACGUAGAGAGGAGAGGGUGGAUAACCAGAUGUAGAGAGGAGAGGGUGGAUAACCAGACAUAGAGAGGAGGGUGGAUAACCAGAUGUAGAGAGGAGAGGGUGGAUAACCAGACGUAGAGAGGAGAGGGUGGAUAACCAGACAGAGAGGAGAGGGUGGAUAACCAGACGUAGAGAGGAGAGGGUGGAUAACCAGAUGUAGAGAGGAGAGGGUGGAUAACCAGACAUAGAGAGGAGGGUGGAUAACCAGAUGUAGAGAGGAGAGGGUGGAUAACCAGACGUAGAGAGGAGAGGGUGGAUAACCAGACGUAGAGAGGAGAGGGUGGAUAACCAGACAGAGAGAGGAGAGGGUGGAUAACCAGAUGUAGAGAGGAGAGGGUGGAUAACCAGACGUAGAGAGGAGGGUGGAUAACCAGACGUAGAGAGGAGAGGGUGGAUAACCAGAUGUAGAGAGGAGAGGGUGGAUAACCAGACGUAGAGAGGGGAGGGUGGAUAACCAGAGGCAGAGAGGGGAGGGUGGAUAACCAGACGUAGAGCCUGAGAGAGGGAGGAGAGAGGAGAGACAGGCCAAGAGAAAGAAAGUGAGAGAGAGAGAUAGAGAGAGAGAGAGAUAGUGAGAGAGAGAGAGAGAGAGAGAUAGUGAGAUAUAGAAAGAGAGAGAGAGAGAAGAUAGUGAGAUAGAGACAAACAAACAGACAUACAAAGAGAGAUAGAGAGAAAGAAGGAGUGAGAGAGAGCGAUUUAUACAUGAAUGACUGUGUGUGUGGGUCUGUGAAUGAGUCUGCUUGCAGAAAGGCUUAUAUGUGUGCCAACAAGUUCUGAAUUGUUUGUGUGUCUGUGUAAUCUGAAGGAAAUAUGUGUCUCCAGUAUGGUCAUACUGUACUGUGACAGUAGAAGUCUAGUAUGCAAAUAUGUAGACCAUCCAAGCUCUGCAGUAGAAGUCUAGUAUGCAAAUAUGUAGAAAAGCCAAGCUCUGCAAUAGGUGUCACUCAUUCCUUCUUCUGUAACGCCAUGACCUCCCAGUAGGUGGACAGAAAAAGUAUUUAUAUGAGGUCUAUAUCACAUGCUAUGCUCUGGUGUCCUCUAACCUGAGCCUAGUGCUGGUCCAGGAGAUAUCUAACCUGAGCCUAGUGCUGGUCCAGGAGAUAUCCAACCUGAGCCUAGUGCUGGUCUAGGAGAUAUCUAACCUGAGCCUAGUGCUAGUACAGGAUAUAUCUAACCUGAGCUUAGUGCUAGUCUAGGAGAUAUCUAACCUGAGCCUAGUGCUAGUCUAGGAGAUAUCUAACCUGAGCUUAGUGCUAGUCUAGGAGAUAUCUAACCUGAGCCUAGUGCUGGUAUAGGAGAUAUCUAACCUGAGCUUAGUGCUAGUACAUGAGAUAUCUAACCUGAGCCUAGUGCUGGUCUAUGAGAUAUCUAACCUGAGCCUAGUGCUAGUACAUGAGAUAUCCAACCUGAGCCUAGAGCUGGUCCAGGAGAUAUAAAACCUGAGCCUAGUGCUAGUACAUGAGAUAUCUAACCUGAGUCUAGUGCUGGUCCAGGAGAUAUCCAACCUGAGCGUAGUGCUGGUCUAUGAGAUAUUUAACCUGAAUCUAGUGCUGGCCUAUGAGAUAUCUAACAUGAGCCUAGUGCUGGUCUAGGAGAUAUCUAACCUGAGCCUAGUGCUGGUCUAUGAGAUAUCCAACCUGAGCGUAGUGCUGGUCUAUGAGAUAUUUAACCUGAAUCUAGUGCUGGCCUAUGAGAUAUCUAACAUGAGCCUAGUGCUGGUCUAGGAGAUAUCUAACCUGAGCCUAGUGCUAGUCUGGGAGAUAUCUAACCUGAGCCUAGUGCUGGUCUGGGAGAUAUAUAACCUGAAUCUAGUGCUGGUCCAGGAGAUAUCCAACCUGAGCCUAGUGCUAGUCUGGGAGAUAUCUAACCUGAGCCUAGUGCUGGUCUGGGAGAUAUCUAACCUGAAUCUAGUGCUGGUCCAGGAGAUAUCCAACCUGAGUCUAGUGCUAGUCUGGGAGAUAUCUAACCUGAGCCUAGUGCUGGUCUGGGAGAUAUCUAACCUGAGCCUAGUGCUGGUCUGGGAGAUAUCUAACCUGAGCCUAGUGCUGGUCUAUGAGAUAUCUAACCUGAGCCUAGUGCUGGUCUGGGAGAUAUCUAACCUGAAUCUAGUGCUGGUCCAGAAGAUAUCUAACCUGAGCCUAGUGCUGGUCCAGAGACGGUAGAAGUGCAUCUCCAACAUGUUCUGGACCGUUGUCCAAUGCUGCUGGAGUCCUUGGUUUUAAGUGUUCACCCAGUAGACGAAUCAGGGUGUAUUAAAUACGCUUGUCACUCUCCACUGGCAGUACACGGGGGAAUGUAUUUUGACAAACUCAGCUCCACAAUACCUAAGUGUCCCUGGCUGACGCCAAGAGAUAAAUACCCCUAAAUUAGGAAAUGGCUUGAAUUUGGCAAAGUAGGCUUUUAAAACAUAGAUGUAUCCCUAUCCCUAUAGUCUAGCUAAGGUCAACAAACAGAAGUUGAGUGACAAGUCAAAUUGGUUAAUCAAAUUUUGUGUCUAAAGCCAAUGGUUCAAUGUCUGACUACUGUAUAUUAUUCAUCUAGUGACAGAAAAACAGCUAUGAUGGUUGUUUACUGACAAGAAAGACAGAAAGAAAGACAGAAAGACAGAAAAAAGAAAGAAAGACAGAAAGAAAGAAAGAAAGAAAGAAAGAAAGA
This 3029-nucleotide long non-coding RNA is filed under the name Salmo salar (Atlantic salmon). RNAcentral describes it as "lncRNA (ENSSSAG00000087954.1)". Lineage: Eukaryota; Metazoa; Chordata; Actinopteri; Salmoniformes; Salmonidae. The record is from RNAcentral.